AUCAAUUCAGGGUUAUUUUGUGUCUUUAUUAAAAAACGUUAGUAGAAAAAUGCUAAAAAAUUUCUUAGUAGAAAUCGAACCCUUAACCUUUUACUUACAAUUCUUAUUAGAUUUACCACUAAGCCAUAUGAAUUAAUUUGUUAUACUUUUGGAACCAACAUAUAAUCAACAUGAGUUAAGUUAAAAGAAGAAAGGGGAAGUGUUUAUUUCUUUUUUCUUUUUUAUAAUAAGAGAGUAAAAUUCAUGUACAAAUAAAAGGAGAGAUUCAAUGAAAUUCUUUAUUUCAACGUCAUAAGUGCAUUAUACCAAAUAAGACAACAAAUGUAUGGUUUUUUUUUUACAAUAUAGAGGUAUAUGGUGUUGUUUCCAUUUAUUUAUGAUAUUUUAUUUGAGUUCAACCCUUUCUUUAGUGUAAUUUAAUCAUUUAUUGUUUAUGUUUCGUUAUUUUAGAUUCACUCAACUUGAUUUAUGGACUUCAAUCCAAUAUUUAAUUAAGUUAAUUUUCAAUUUGUAGUUCAACUCAAUAAAUUUAAUUAAUUUAAUACAAGAAUAUGGUGGGAGAAAAACUGGAAAAACUCCCGUAAAAAAAUGGUGAGAC
This 598-nucleotide long non-coding RNA is filed under the name Trifolium pratense (red clover). Its description in RNAcentral is "long non-coding RNA (TPRA_LNC014392)". The record is from RNAcentral. Lineage: Eukaryota; Viridiplantae; Streptophyta; Magnoliopsida; Fabales; Fabaceae.